This 243-nucleotide ribosomal RNA is filed under the name uncultured bacterium. RNAcentral describes it as "partial 16S ribosomal RNA". It matches the Rfam family "Bacterial small subunit ribosomal RNA", at positions 355 to 589 of the family's 1533-position model. The record is from RNAcentral.
UAGGGAAUCUUCGGCAAUGGGGGCAACCCUGACCGAGCAACGCCGCGUGAGUGAAGAAGGUUUUCGGAUCGUAAAGCUCUGUUGUAAGUCAAGAACGGGUGUGAGAGUGGAAAGUUCACACUGUGACGGUAGCUUACCAGAAAGGGACGGCUAACUACGUGCCAGCAGCCGCGGUAAUACGUAGGUCCCGAGCGUUGUCCGGAUUUAUUGGGCGUAAAGCGAGCGCAGGCGGUUUGAUAAGUC